CCUGUAAAGUAGGCCAGUCGAAGGAGGGAGUGACUGGCCAAAGACCACCCAGUGAGCUUCAUAUCUUAAGGAGGAUUUGAACUCGGGCCUGGUCUGAAACCCGGCUAUUUCCAAAGUGGAUGGCGCUACCCCCUUGUGAGUGGCGGGGUUACAUAAGGGGUACAAAGAGGUCAAUGGGGUGCUGGAGGUGUAAAUGAUUUCAGACUUUGAGAAGCUAGUAUCACCGGAUCAGGUUCAUCAGAGAACCAUAGAAUCAUAGAAGGGACCCCAAGGAUCAUCCAGACCAACCCCCAGCAAUGUAAGAAUCUCAGCUAAAAUAUCCAUGACAGAUGGCCACCCAAUCUUUCAAGCCCUAAAUGGCCUCGGCCCAGUAUACCUGAAGGAGCGUCUCCACCCCCAUCGUUCUGCCCAGAUGCUGAGGUCCAGCACCGAGGGCCUUCUGGCCGUUCCCUCCCUGCGAGAAGCAAAGUUACAGGGAACCAGGCAGAGGGCCUUCUCGGUGGUGGCGCCCACCCUGUGGAACGCCCUUCCAUCAGAUAUCAAGGAGAUAAAUAACUAUCAGACUUUUAGAAGACAUCUGAAGGCAGCUUUAUUGUGCUUUUAGUGUUCUGUUGGAAGCCGCCCAGAGCGUCUGGGGAAACCCAGCCAGAUGGGCAGGGUACAAAUAUUAUUAUUAUUACAGUGGACGCUCUGGUCGCGAAUGUGAUCCAUGCGGGAUACACGUUCGCAACGCGCAGCGUCCGCAACCCGCGUCUGCACAUGCGCGGGUUGCUAUUCACCGCUUCUGUGCAUGCGUGACCGCCGAAACCCGGAAGUAACCCGUUCCGGUGUUCCGCAACCUGAAAAAAUGCAACCUGAAGCGUCUGUAACCCGAGGUAUGACUGAAUUAUUAUUAUUAUUAUUAUUAUUAUUAUUAUUAUUACGUCUGCUUAAAAACCUCUAAGGAAGGAGCCCACCACCUCCCGAAGAAGUCCAUUCCACUGUCAAACAGCUCUUCCUAUUUGGUUAAAUUGAUUAAACUAAAUUAGUUUAGUUUAGUUUAGUUUUUGAAUAAAUGCGCAAUUGAUGUGCAACUGUUCCAAAUUUUAUUGUGUUAUUGUCUUCUUUAGUAGGUCAUGCCAACAGCUCUUUUGAAUAACACUUUUUAGGUAGGACAGCGGACAGUGGGGCGAGUUUACGGAACUAGGUAGUCACUGGGAGAGCCAGGAUGUUGAGCUGCUGUUAAGCCUGAUUUAAGUCUGAUUUAGAAAGCCUGUUCAGAGAAUAAAUCAACAACGGGCUUUCUUCCCCCACUCCACCAGAAGCUGCAUCUUAGCUGAUGUCCAGGAAAGGAUCUGUGCAACUCUAUCAGUGAGUAACACUUUGGGAAAUUCUGACAGCGCCUGUCGCGGUGGAGUGGGGGUGAUGGCACACUGUGAAUUUUCAGCUUUCCAUAGAAGGAAGGAUCAUAGAAUUGCAGAGUUGGAAGGGAACCAGAAAGUCAUCCCUGCAAUAAGAAUCCAAAGAAAAGAGAAGGGAUUCAAGACCUACACAUAUCCCACUACCCACUUUUGAGGCUCACCUGUCUAUUCAACAAACAGGAAUAGUCAAGGACUUUGAACAGGGCACAGCCUGCAGCAGGAAUCCAUGAACAUGAGAGAUUAGGGAAUGUGUGGCCUUGGGUUAUCGAUCCUUUGGCGGGACGUUUUCAGCUAUCUGAAGGAGCGUCUCCACCCCCAUCAUUCUGCCCGGACACUGAGGUCCAGCUCUGAGGGCCUUCUGGUGGCUCCCUCACUGCGAGAAGCCAAGUUACAGGGAACCAGGCAGAGGGCCUUCUCGGUAGUGGCACCCGCCCUGUGGAACGCCCUCCCAUCAGAUGUCAAAGAGAAGAAUAACUACCAGACAUUUAGAAGACAUCUGAAGGCAGUCCUCUUUAGGGAAGCUUUUAAUGUUUACUGUAUUAUUGGAAACCCACAAGCAAGAUUCGAACACAAGACUCCUCUCCCUGCCCUCCUGCUGUUUCCAGCAACUGGUUUUCAGAAGCAUUACUGACUCUGACCAUGGAGGCAAAGUAUAACCAUUGAGGCUGGAGCCCACUGAUAUUUUUCAGCAAGAUGCCUUGCGAGGGUUUUUGGCGGUUUCCUCACUGCAAGAUGCGAAGUUACAGGGAACCAGGCAGAGGGCCUUCUCGGUGGUGGCACCCACCGUGUGGAACGCCCUCCCAGCAGAUGUCAAGGCAAUAAACAACUGUUUUACUUUUAAAAGACAACUGAAGGAAAGUUUUUAAUGUCUGAUGCUGUAUUGUAAGCUGCCCAGAGUGGCUGGGGAAACCCAGCCAGAUGGGCGGUGUAUAAAUAAAUUAUUAUUAUUAUUAUUAUUAUUAUUAUUAUUAUUAUUAUUCAUUAAGCCAGACUUUUCCAGACAACAAUUCCAGGUUCCCUCAUUUAAUAUGGCACUUGUGACUGGCCUGUUUGUAGCAAUACUCUCAGACUGAAGAUUCGCCACUGCAACAUCCAGUUUCCCACAGCCGUCAGUCACAUGCCGCUGGGAACCCCACGUGAAGAAUGUGAGAACAUCAGAACAGCCCCUCGGAUCAGGCCAAAGGUCCAUUCUGAGUCAGCAUCCUGUUCUCACAGUGGCCCGACCAGAGGCCUGUGGGAAGACCGCAAGCAGGACAUUGGGGGAUUGUUAUAUAAAAAAAAUGUUUUUAAACCCUCAAAGUUGCUUACAAAUAGCUAAAGCAAUAAAAUCAAGAAAAAUCUGCAACCCUGCUUUAAAAUACGCAAAAGUUAAAAUACUAAAAUGUAUUAAAACCACCUCCCCUUUCUCAACAUCUGGGUUGGCGUGUCUAAACAAGAAUGUUUUUAGCAGGCACUGAAAAAGAGUACAGUUGUACCUUGGAUCUCAAACGCCUUGGCUCCCAAACAAAUUGGCUCCUGAAAGAUCGAACCCCGGAAGUGAGUGUUCCAGUUUUCGAAUGAUUUUCAGAAGCCGAAUGUCCUGUUCCGGGAGUCGAACGGACUCCCGGAACGCAUUCUGUUCGAGAACCAAGGUACAACUGUACAGUGAAGGCGGUCGCUUGCUUCUCAAUAGGCAGGGAUUUUGUAGGCGCUACCCCGUGAAGGAGAACUACUUGGAAAUGAUUUACAGAUGGUAUUUAACUCGGAGUAGGCUUACUAAGAUGAAUAAGACUGAAUCAGAUAAGUGCUGGAGAUGAAAUGAGGUUGCGGGUACGUUCUUUCAUAUGUGGUGGACCUGUAAAAGGGUAAAAAGAGCAUUGGGAAAUAAUUUAUAAUGAAUUGGAAAAAAUGUUUAAAAGCACCUUUCCAAAAAAAGCUUUUUGGUGGGUGUCAGGGAACUGCCAUCGGAAGGAAGGGAGGUGAAAGGACUCAGACAGGUUGGAAGAGAUUCAGCAGCUGAAGAGGGAACCAGCAAGGGGAGAGAAGCUGAACUGAGGGAGGUGAAAGGGCUCAGACAGGUUGGAAGAGACUCAGCAGCGGAAGAGGAAACCAGCAGGGGAGACAAGCUGAACUGAGGGAAAGGGAGCUGGGGGAUGGCUCAGAGAUACUUCCAGCGAAAACAGUGGUGAGGUUUCCGGACCUCCUGUAGCGACACCCACUCCUCGCCGGAAACUGUCACGCAGAGAGUCCAGAAGACGUGUUUCCGUUAAGGAGCUUUUAUGUUGGAAGCGAUUACGAAAGCAACCACUGUCGGAAUCUUCUAGUGACUAAGAGGAGCCAUGUCAGAGGGGCUCAGUCACAGACAGAGGUUUGUGGACUUGAACAAACUCUGAGGGAAUACGAUUUUACGCACAAGCAGCUCAUAAUCCCAUCACAGCAUUCCGACAGUCUUUGAACGCAGCUUGUGCAGGAGACGGCAUAAUAAUGAGCAACCCAGCAGGAACCGGAGAAGCAGGGGCUGGAGCGGGUCCAAGCCUGGAAGAAAGGUACCGGGUGUUAGAGGUCCAGCUGGCGCUGCAGACGGCGAGGCUGGAGGAGAGGAGGGCUCAAGAUGCAGACAAAGGGAGAAAGCCACCCAGCUCGCCAGAAAGGUACCAGGAUUGGUGCAAAAAUUUGGGGGGGAGCCCAAAGACUAUCAUAGCUUUCGGACAGAAAUGCAAUAUGCCCUCAAUCUGCAGUUUGAUGAUUUCCUGAUGAGGAAUCACGAGUGGCUUUUGUGAUUGGGCAUCUUGAAAAGGGGGCGAGAGACUGGGUUAGACCCCUGAUGGCAGCGAAUAGUGACGUCUUAAAAGACACGAUGAAGUUCUUUCGCGCCAUGGAUCUGAUGUUUUCCAGCGAUAUUGAAAAGGGAGUGGUGCGCAGACAGUUAAUGGCUUGCAAACAGGGGAGCCGAUCUGUACGUGAGUACUGGACUGAGUUCACCAUGCUGAUACACAGAUUGGGGUGGGACUUAUCGGCGGAACCCAUUCAAAUGCUCUUUGAAGAAGGGCUUUCUUCGGCUGUGAAAGAUGAACUUUCCCGGGCGCCCAGGGCGGAGUCUAUGGACCAGCUGACCAAAUCAGCGCUGGCCAUAGGAGCGCGCCAGGAGGCGAGAGCAUUGGAGAGGCGGGAAGGGAAAGGGGAACGUUGGAAGGAGUUCCGCAUUCCAGACAUUCCAGAGCCAACUGUCCCGCCGGCAGAGCCGAUGGAAAUCGGAACAGCGCGCGCGCGCGCAGUUUCAAAGCCCAGUGAGGGGGAAAAGAAGGAUGGAAAAGGCGCCCGGAAAUGCUAUCUCUGCCAACAGCCAGGGCACUUUGCCAGAGUCUGCCCCCAGAGGAAGGAAUGGCAAGGGAUGGUGGGAGCUGUGGAGGGAAGAGAGGAAAAAUACCGGAGCAACUAAAAGCCAACGCCUGGCUGCCAUUGUCGGGGCACAGCAGCCAGGCCAAAGAGCAGUGAAAGUGCCCACUCCAGAACCUCCUAAACCCGCCCUAGUGAUAGAAGUGACACUAGAGCUCCCAAACGGACACCCUCUAAAGAUAAAGGCGCUGUUGGACUCAGGCAGCUCCUGCAAUUUCAUGAGCAAAGAGUUUGCAGCUGAACACCAGAUACAGACGCUCCUUUAAGCAACCCCUGCAGGUAACCACGAUCGAUGGCAGGGAGCUGUUGGGAGGAGAAGUCAGCUUGCAGACCGUCCCAAUGAUAAUGAAGGUGGCAAGGCACACUGAACUGAUAGCUUUUAAUGUGGCCACCUUGGGAGGAGCUCCCAUUAUAUUGGGGAUGAGCUGGCUAGCGUUACAUGAUCCGCUGGUGGGCUGGCAUCAGAGAGUGGUUUCUUUUGGGUCAGCACAUUGCUUAGAACAUUGCAAAGAGGGAAAGGUUUUGGCAGGGGCCCAAGCCACCCUAGCAGGGACUGAAGUGAAGGAGAACGUGAAGGUACCACGACAAUACGCAGAUCUCCGCGACGUCUUCAGCGAAAGGGAAGCUGACCAACUACCACCGCAUAGAGCCUUUGACUGUCAAAUCAAUUUGCUCCCUGGGGCACAGCUCCCUGUGGGCAAGCUGGACGCCAUGUCAGACAGAGAGAUGCAGGAGCUAAGAGAGUUCAUUGACACGAACCUGAAGAGAGGGUUCAUCAGAGAGUCCAGGGCGGUGGGGGCAGCCCAGUGUUUUUGUGGACAAAAACACGAACAAGCCGAGACUGGUGUGUGACUUCAGGGCCUUAAAUGCAGUGUCAGAACCAGUGGCCUUCCCGAUGCCCAGGAUUGACGACAUUUUGACAAGGGUGCGAAAGGGAAAGAUUUUCACCAAGCUGGAUCUAAGGGGGCGUACAACCUGAUAAGCAUAUGGAAGGCGGAUGAAUGGAAAACCACCUUGUUCACCCCUUUAGGGUCUUUUGAAUACUUAGUUAUGCCCUUCGGUCUACAAGCAGGCUCCGCAACAUUUCAAUCGUUUAUGAACCACGUCCUGGGGCCGUUGCUUUACAAGAAUUGUGUGGCCUUCUUAGACGACGUGUUGGUGUAUUCUGAGAAUGAGGAGCAGCAUGUGAGAGACGUCAGAGAAGUGUUGAGCAGGCUGCAAGCCAACCAGCUGUGGGUGAAACUGGAGAAGUGUCAGUUUCAUACCAAGGAGGUGGAAUUCCUGGGGUAUCGCCUGUCUGACAAGGGGUAGGCCAUGGAUCCCGGCAAGGUCCAGGCGGUACUGGAAUGGAAAACACCCAAAACAAGGAAGGAUGUGCAGAGGUUUUUAGGGUUUGGGAACUUCUAUCGUAAGUUCAUCCCAAACUUUGCCCACCUGACGGCGCCCAUUACGGACUGUCUCAGCAGUAAGAAGAAGUUCGCUUGGACGGAGGAGGCGGAGCAAGCAUUUGAGGAACUAAAAGGGCCUUCGCCUCGGAACAACAGCUCCUGCAUGUGGAUUUACAAAAACCGAUGAGAGUGGAAACUGACGCAUCAGACAGAGCGGUUGGGGCGGUGCUUCUCCAGCCAGGGAAGGAGGAGUCAGAGUGGAGACCGUGGUGCUUUUUUCGCGAAAGCUGAACAAAUCUGAGAGGAACUACACGGUGUAUGACCGAGAACUACUAGCCAUUCAUGAGGCGUUCCGGAGAUGGAGGCACCUGCUAAUUGGCGCACAACAUAAGGUGCAAGUGUGCACUGACCACAAGAACCUAGAGUAUUGGAGGACGGCACGAGUGCUCAACCAACGGCAAGUGAGAUGGGCCCAGGAAUUCUCCAAAUUUAACUUUGAGAUUUGUUACGUGCCAGGCCCAGAGAACAUUAGGGCGGACGCUCUCUCACGCAAACCUGAAUAUUGGGAGGGGAGGGAGCACCCGAAGAGAGACAUGUCAUUCCAGAGGACCGCUGGGUGUGUGGGGCGGCAUUGGUGGGACAAAGAGAACUGGUAGAAGAAACAGAGAAUGAUGAAUACGCCCAGAAUAAGCUCAGAGGUCUUAGGGAUGAGGGAGAGGAAUCAAGGGGUUUCGAGGAAAGAAAUGGAGCUUUGUAUUACAAAGGGGCACUGUAUAUCCCUGAAGGAGACUUAAGGGGAGGGUACUCAAGCAGUUGCAUGACAGCCCCACGGCGGGGCAUUUUGGGCAACACAAAACCAUGUGGUUGGUCACCAGGGAAUUUUGGUGGCCUAAGGUGAGGGAGGAUGUACGUGAGUAUGUAAGAGGGUGCGAGCAGUGCCAGCGAGCCAAAGGGGAAAGGCGGGCGCCGGCGGGGCUAUUAGAACCCUUACCAACACCAGAACGACCUUGGGAGGCAGUGUCGAUAGAUUUUAUGACUGAUCUGCCGAAGUCCAAAGGGAAAACAGCCAUCAUGGUGGUGGUAGACCUACUAACAAAGAUGUGCCACUUUGUAGCUUGCUCGCAUGCAGUCACGGCGGAAGAGACAGCGAAGUUAUUUGUAGAACACAUUUUUAGGUUGCACGGGGUGCCAUUGAGGGUGGUCUCAGACCGAGGAAAACAAUUUACUUCCAGGUUCUGGAGGAAGCUCAUGAGCUUACUGCAGGUGGAGGUCAACUUUUCGACUGCCCGGCACCCUGAAACCAACGGGCAGGCGGAAAGAGCAAACGGUGUCCUCCAGCAAUACCUGAGGUGUUAUGUCAAUGACAGAGAGAAUGACUGGGUAGAAAAGUUGGCGCUGGCGGAAUUUGCCUACAACAAUGCCGAGAAUGUGUCCACAGGGAUGAGCCCCUUCUUGGCUAAUUAUGGGUGUCAUCCCAGGGCUUUCCCAGGGGGAGAAGGGGAGAGAUGGAGCGAACCGGCAGCCGAGCAUUUUGUAGAAGAAAUGGAAGCAAUCCACCGUCAGCUCCAACUCAACUUAGAAAGGGCGAAGGAAGAAUACAAGAGGCAGGCAGACAAGAACCGAAGGGAAGGUGAAACCAUAAGGGUUGGAGAUAGGGUGUGGCUGUCAACCCGAGGGCUGCCGCUCAAAGGAGGUUGUAAGAAAUUACGACCCAGGAGGUUGGGUCCCUUUGAGGUCAUUCAACAGGUCAACCCAGUGGCUUUCAGGCUCCGGUUACCCAACCACAUGAAACUGCACCCAGUAUUUCACAGGUCGUUACUGUCACCGUACGAGGGGGGACGAGAAGGGAUGGACACUCUGGGACCGGUCAUAGAAGAAAGAGAAUGCAGCAGUCAUGUGGCAGAAAUCCUUGAUGCCAGGUGGAAGGGGAAUCAGGUGGAGUAUUUGGUAGCGUGGGAAGGAGAACCGGAGUCAGAAAACACGUGGGUAAUGGCCAAAGAUAUCAAUGACGAGGUAUUGAUAGAAAUGUUCCAUCAAAGGUUCCCGCGGAAACCUCAGCCUGUGGAGAGGUUCCGGAGGGAAUACUUUGGGACCACUGAGGAGGAGGAGGAGUUGGAAGGAUUCCCAGAAUCGGAAGGGGAAGGGGAGAUGGACUCGGAGGAGGAGGAGUGCUUCGAGACCAGGAACCGCAACAGGUGGAGAGAAGUGUUCGAGACAUCGGAAGAUGAAGGAAGUUCAUUCCGGGGUUUUGCCUCCUCACCGCCCGUAGAGGAGGGGGCGAGAGGGGGUGAAGGGGGCCCUGGAGGGGAGGUGGAUGUCAGGGAACUGCCAUCGGAAGGAAGGGAGGUGAAAGGACUCAGACAGGUUGGAAGAGAUUCAGCAGCUGAAGAGGGAACCAGCAAGGGAGAGAAGCUGAACUGAGGGAGGUGAAAGGGCUCAGACAGGUUGGAAGAGACUCAGCAGCGGAAGAGGAAACCAGCAGGGGAGACAAGCUGAACUGAGGGAAAGGGAGCUGGGGGAUGGCUCAGAGAUACUGCCAGCGAAGACAGUGGUGAGGUUUCCGGACCGCCUGUAGCGACACCCACUCCUCGCCGGAAACUGUCACGCAGAGAGUCCAGAAGACGUGUUUCCGUUAAGGAGCUUUUAUGUUGGAAGCGAUUACGAAAGCAACCACUGUCGGAAUCUUCUAGUGACUAAGAGGAGCCAUGUCAGAGGGGCUCAGUCACAGACAGAGGUUUGUGGACUUGAACAAACUCUGAGGGAAUACGAUUUUACGCACAAGCAGCUCAUAAUCCCAUCACAGUGGGGAUAAUUCAGACUGAAAUUCCCAGGUGUCAAAAAAGGUUAUUUAUGUAUGCCACUACGGCAGCCUGUGUUUUGUUAGUCCAAAAAUGGAAAAUGAGCGAGGUCUCAACCAAAGAAGAAUGACAACUUAAACUGAUGGAACAUGUGCAGCUUGCAGAACUAACUUAUAGAUUAAGAGAACAAGGAGAACAUUCGUUUAAAGAAGAUUGGAAAAUGUUUACUGAAUAUAUGGGGCGGAAUUGUGUAUACUUGAAAACAUUGGCAGCAUUAAGAUAAAUUCAACAGUGUGAAUAAGUUUUGCUGGAAGUAAUAUAUGCAAGGAUUUAUGCUAUGUAAAAUGAACCAUGGAAAGAGAAGAAGGGAAGUAACUGAUAUUUUAAGGAUGUCUAAAUUAUAAAGAAGGCUGAUUGCCAAAGAAUGGAUGCUUUUGAAUUCUGGUGCUGGAGGAGACUCUUGAGAGUCCCAUGGACUGCAAGAAGAUCAGACCUAUCCAUUCCUGAGUAAAUCAGCCCUGAGUGCUUACUGGAAGGACAGAUCCUGAAGCUGAGGCUCCAAGACUUUGGCCACCUCAUGAGAAGAGAAGACUCCCUGGAAAAGACCCUGAUGUUGGGAAAGAUGGAGGGCACAAGGAGAAGGGGACAACAGAGGAUAAGAUGGUUGGACAGUGUUCUCGAAGCUACCAGCAUGAGGUUGACCAAACUGCAGGAGGCAGUGGAAAACAGGAGUGCCUGGCGUGCUCUGGUCCAGGGGGUCACAAAGAGUCGGACACAACUAAACCACUAAACAACAACAACAAAUGAAUAUUCUAAAUUGUAAAACAGAAAAUUUAAUAAAAAUUACACACACACACACAAAGUGUAGGCACUGCCACACCGAAUGGUGGAGUCCUUACAAAUGUGGAAUGGGCAUUAUGUGGCACUAUCGUAGUGCCGGUUCCACCAAUCAAAGCACUAGCAAGAAACCAGUCUUUUAGUGGGCCGCGUCUCCACUUUGGAACUAUUGGCAUCAGUCAGGUGCCCUCCCUUUACUAUUUUCAAUACCUGCUUUAAACAUUUUUGUUUAGGCGGGCCUAUCCGGACAUGUAAAAGGUGGCAUGCGUUUGAGUCUCUUUUUAACUUGCUUUUGCUUUUAAUAAUAUUUGGGGUGCUUUUAUUGCUCCUGUUUUCAACUGCCUUUCAUUGAUAAAUUUAAUGGGUGUGUUUUUGCAAACUGCCCGGAGGCUUUAUUGCAACAUUUCCAAACAUGAAAUGAAAUAAACAAAUCUGCCACCGAAGGCAGUUGCCUCACUCUGCCUAAUGGUGCAGCCGGAUGGCCCAGCUCAGGCGGAUAUUGUUCCUGCACAUGGGACUAUAUUAUAACUAAUAGCCAUGGAUAGCUACUAAUUUGUCAAAUCCCCUGUGGAAAAGAGCAGUGGAGAACAGCCUGUAAGCAAAAUGAAAAGGUGAAGAGAGGAAGAAGAGGGGAGAAACGAACUGAAGUUUGUAGCAGCUGCUUCUGCGAGCCAGAGCAUCUCAGCUGAAGAAGAUUUGGGGGUGCAAUCCUAAUCCUGUUUGGCUGGGAGCAACUGCUACCGAAUGCAAGAGGAGUUAUUUCUGGAUAGACAUUGUUAGGAUGAUGCUGUUCAGGGCUGGAUUUAGGUUUGAUGAUGCCCUCAGCUACUGAAGGUAAUGGCGCCCUUUUUAUGUCCAGCUGUCCUUUGUCAGCAACAAAUUGUCACUGUUUUUUGUGUUGAAUAUAUGCUAUAUGGUAAUUUAUGGACCUAAUAGGUAUCUAAAGCCAUUUACACAUAACAAAGAGGAGCCCACACAACACAAAACACUGUUGCUGUAUGUAGGUUUUAUUUUAUUUGUUUUUUAUCUUAUAUUUUGGAAACAUACAUCCAUUUUUUCCCUUAAAUUUUUUUGGGGGGCCCCCAAGAGAGUGGGGCCCUAAGCUAUACAGUGGUGCCUCUGGUUGCGAAUGGGAUCCGUUUUGGAGGCCCUUUCGCAACCUGAACAGAAUGCAACCUGCACCUGCUAGUCUGCGUGAGUCACGAUCCACCGCUUCUGCGCAUGCGCGUGACAUCAUUUUGCGCGUCUACGCGAGCGGUGAAACGUGGAAGUAACCUGCUCUGUUACUUCUGGGUCGCCGCGGGACGCAACCUGAAAACACGCAACCUGAAGCAAAUGUAACAUGAGGUAUGACUGUAGCUUGUUUAGCUUAUACUGUGGUACCUCGGGAUGCGAACGGGAUCCGUUCAGGAGCCCCGUUCGCAUCCAGAAGCAAACGUAACUAGCGACGGCACGUCUGCGCAUGCACAUGUCGCUUUUCGCCGCUUCUGCGCAUGUGUGUGAUGUCAUUUUGAGCAUCUGCGCAUGCGCGAGCGGCGAAACCCGGAAGUAACCCGCUCCGUUACUUCCGGGUUGCCGCGGAGCGCAACUCGAACGAGCUCAACAUGAAGCAUAUUCAACCCAAGGUAUGACUACGUAAAUCCGGCACUGGUGCUGUUAGACCGGAAAACAUAGAGCGUGCUUUAUACUGAGUCAGGCAGUAUUGUCUUCACUGACUGGCAGCAGCUGGAAAUGCCCCUGGGGAUUCAGCCUGGAUGCUCUACCACCGAGGGGCCUUACUCGGGUCUAAAAAGGUUGGCCUCAGGCUGUUUCCCCCACCCCACUGCCAUAAAGAUCACUUAUCUUGGGCCCAUCAUUCCCUUCCUCUCCGCCUAACCCGCCUCAAAGGGUUGUUUUGAGGAAACCAGCCUUGAGUGCCUGCCAACCCCGGAGUGCCUUGGAGGAAAGCGGAGAUAAACACGUGAUCAAAUAAUAGUAGUGCACGAAGUAUAAUAACUACAUGGCUCAGGUGUGCAGGUCUGAGUAGCAUGGGUUGGCUCGUCAUUGCAAUAACCUUGGAGGUGGCGACACCAAUUCUUUGUGCUGUUCUCUGCAUUGUUUAUGAAUCAGCACCUGGACAAUGGAACAGAACCACCCUGCAGGUGUGUCGCUAGGAGCGGUCCUAAGGAGCAUUGGGCCUCAAAUCUUUUUCCAAGUCACCCGAGUUUUGGGGAGUAAUUAAUUCAGAGCCUAGGACUUGCCGAUCAGAAGGUCGGCGGUUCAAAUCCCCACGAAGGGGUGAGCUCCCGUUGCUCGGUCCCUGCUCCUGCCCACCUAGCAGUUCAAAAGCACAUAAAAGUGCAAGUAGAUAAAUAGGUACCGCUCCGGUGGGAAGGUAAAUGGCGUUUCCGUGUGUUGCUAUGGUUCGCCAGAAGCGGCUUAGUCCUGCUGGCUGUACGCCAGCUCCCUUGGCCAGUAAAGCGAGAUGAGCGUCGCAACCCCAGAGUCGUCCGCAACUGGACCUAAUGGUCAGGGGUCCCUUUACCUAAUUCAGGGGAAAAUGACCAGGGGGUGGUUAGUGGGUAAGACAUUGAUUUUUUGGGGGAGGGGGGGGAUAAAUUAAUUUUAGCUGGUUUUAUCUACAGAUGAUUAGGGGGAAAUGAACAGGGAGAAACUGAAGGAGAAUUUAAUUUACUUCAAAGAGGAGCUCCUAGGGAAAUUCACUGGGGUGUAUAUGCUGAAGGGGAACGGAUUUGGGGCAAUCUGGAGUGGGGCACAAAUUAACUGAGGAAUUUUCCCUGGGAGAUCUGGAUGGGGAAUUAGCAGGCUUUCCAUGAUUCAUUUAAAGAUAUGUGAUCCUAACCUCAACCACCUGGGAGCAAGUCCCACUGAAUUCAACAGGACUUACUUCUGAGUAGAUAUAACUGGGAUUGGACUGAAAACCUGCAACUAUACCCAGAGGUUUACACUUGCAAACUAUAUGCAAAUCUGUGCCUAUUGCCCAAAUCUUUUAAGUAUCUGGCAACACCCCUGCGGUAUAGUCCCAUCCCAACCUGCUGCUUGCAAGUUGCUUGGAAAGCGUGGUGGAGCAAAGGUGUUCCUUGAGUCCAAAAGCAAGGAUUUCCCUGGAACCCAUCAAUUAAUUACAAUAUUGCAAAAAAAAACAACAACACCCCAAACCCUGCAGUUUAGUAAGUGGUUAAAUAUACCUCUCCUGCAAGCCUGGGAUAUAGUCUAAGAUUGCAACAGGAGAAGAAUGUCUACGUGUCAUCACAAGGGUGUUUGCAACGUGGGAGGCUGGGGUUUGGGAAGAAACAUGUCGGCAGGCCAGACUCCUCAGGACUCAACCAUCAAACUGACAACAGAGGCAUUUGCAAGGUCAUGCCAUGCCACCAGCAAUUCACACAACCAUCUGUUUAAUAAUAAUAAUAAUAAUUUAUUUCUUAUACCCAGUUUCCCCAGCCACUGGGCAGCUUCCAACCAAAUAUUAAAAUACAGUAAUACAUCAAGCAUUAAAAGCUCCCCUAAACAGGGCUGCCUUCAGAAGUCUUCUAAAUGUCUGGUAGCUGUUCUUCUCUUUGACAUCUGGUGGGAGGGCGUUCCACAGGGCGGGUGCCACUACAGUGGUACCUCAGGUUAAGUACUUAAUUCGUUCCGGAGGUUCGUACUUAACCUGAAACUGUUCUUAACCUGAAGCACCUCUUUAGCUAAUGGGGCCUCCUGCUGCUGCCGCACCGCCGGAGCACAAUUUCUGUUCUCAUCCUGAAGCAAAGUUCUUAACCUGAAGCAAUAUUUCUGGGUUAGCGGAGUGUGUAACCUGAAGCGUAUGUAACCUGAAGCGUAUGUAACCCGAGGUACCACUGUACUGAGAAGGCCCUCUGCCUGGUUCCCUGUAACCUCACUUCUUGCAGCCAGAAGGCCCUCGGCGCUGGACCUCAGCGUCCGGGCAGAAUGAUGGGGGUGGAGACGCUCCUUCAGGUAUACAGGACUGAGGCCGUUUAGGGCUUUCAAGGUCAGCACCAACACUUUGAAUUGUGCUUGGAAACAUACUGGGAGCCAAUGUAGGUCUUUCAAGACUGGUGUUAUAUGGUCUGGGAUGAAUGAGUCUGACCUCCGGGAAGCUGCCUUAUACUAAGUCAGACCAACAGACCACCAAGCUCAGUAUUGUCUGACCGGCAUUGGCUCUCUAGGGUUUCAGGCAGGGGACAAGACCAGCCCUAAUCUGGAGCGGCCAUUGCGGGUUGAACCCGAGACCUUCUGCAUGCAAAGCAGAUGUAUCUGACUUAUGCUGAGUCAGGCCCACCUAGAUCAAUACUGUCUGCACUGACUGGUAGCAGGUCUCCAUGGUUUCCAGACAAGGGACUUUUCCAGUUUCAAUCAUUCUCAUAAUAAUCCAUUAUAAACUGGUCACACCUGGCUGCUGGGGGAGGUUUUAGUCAGGCUUAGCCAGCCUGUGGUUUCUGACAGCUCACUAGGCAUGGUCUUUCUAUUUCCACACCCAGGACUAGCAACUUGAAACAGAAGAGGAAAAACUGCUAUUCCCAGGAAGGUUUACUCUAGGCCCAAAACCACAUGUGGGAUAGACGCAGUUGUGUGUCCUUGUUUCUCAAUUUGAACCUUUUUCCAUGGGCCUGUAUGUAAUAAUAAUGAUAAUGAUAAUGAUAAUGAUAUAAUGAUAAUAAUAAUAAUAUUUAUUUAUACCCCACCCUCCCCAGUCAGAGCUCAGGAUGGCUAACACCAAUAAACUCACAGUAAAAACGUAAUUGGGGGGGGGGGCAAUUUAAAAUACAAGUUAAAAUGCAUUUUAAAAUGCAGCUUCAUUUUAAAAAUAGCCCAUAGAUCAAAACCAUAAAGGGAGGGAAACAUAGACUGAGUCCAAGCCAAAGACCAGGUGGAACAGCUCUGUCUUGCAGGCCCUGCGGAAAGAUGUCAAGUCCCACAGUGCCCUGGUCUCUUGUGACAGAGCUUUCCACCAAGUCGGGGCCAGUACUGAAAAGGCCCUGGCCCUAGUUGAGACCAAUCUAACCACCUUGCGACUUGGGACCUCCAAAGUGUCGUCAUUUGUGGACCUUAAGGUCCUCCGUGAGGCAUACCUGGAGAGGCGGUCCCGUAGGUACGUGGGUCCUAUGUAUUGCAACACAGAAAGCUUCCUAUUGUAUGAAGCUACUGGCUGUGUGUUCUGAUUCUUUGGAUGGUUCCUGAUGGGGUGAAAGUGAAUUAAAUUGGGGUGGGGGUUAAAUAUGGCUUGGCAUUUUGAUGACAAGUGCCAUAUUUUUUGCUCUAUAAGACGCACCAGACCAUAAGACGCACCUAGUUUUUGCAGGAGGAAAACAAGGAAAAAAAUAUUUUGAAUCUCAGAAGCCAGAACAACAAGAGGGAUCGCUGUGCAGCGAAAGCAGCGAUCCCUCUUGUUGUUCUGGCUUCUGGGAUAGCUGCACAGCCUGCAUUCGCUCCAUAAGACGCACACACAUUUCCCCUUACUUUUUAGGAGGGAAAAAGUGAGUCGUAUAGAGCAAAAAAUACGGUAUAUUGCAUGGACAGACAUUGCUAAAAGCAAUGAAGGUUUGAGAAGUCCUGAUCCCAUAAUAAACACCCACCUCAAAGCACCCUCUGUGUUCUACUAGGGUGGUGGGGUUUGGAUGCUGAGAUCCAGGUUCAAAUGUUCGCUUAGCCAUGAAGGUCAGCCAGAGGCGCCACUUCUCAACCAACCCCUACCUCACAGGAUCGGUGUUGGGGUGAAAUGAGAAGCUGACGAAGAGUUCUGCAGAACAGCAAAUCCUUCAUCACAUCCCAAUGACAGCUUGCCAGAGUUCCUGAGAAGGAGCCACGCCACCUCUGGGGUUUAGGCAUGUCCUGGGAUGUCUCAAGAGCCUAACCUGCACGGCGCCUGGCGAACCAAAUAUGGAAGAGGAAGUCCCAAAAGUGGUGAGAAAAGGGAAACCACAGCAGCUCAGAGCCAAGCACAGGCUGUUCAGGAAAAGAUUGAGCAACCGGCAAAGUACUGGAGAAGUCAAGACAAGAAAUAAAUAAUAAUAAUAAUAAUAAUAAUAAUAAUAAUAAUAAUAAUAAUUUAUUUAUACCCUGCCCAUCUGGCUGAGUUUCCCCAGCCACUCUGGGCGGCUUCCAACAAAACACUAAAAUACAAUAACCUAUUAAACAUUAAAAGCUUCCCUAGCUGCUGCAUUCUGGAUUAAUUGCAGUUUCCGGGUCACCUUCAAAGGUAGCCCCACGUAGAGUGCAUUGAAAUAGUCCAAGCUUGAAAAGCACAGCUUCUGCUUCCUGUUCAUUUACUCAAGCACAUGUCCCACCCUGUCCCAGAGGCUCGAGGUGAACAGCAAAACAUCUAUUAUGAAAACAGAAAUUAAACCCAUCCUAUACCCUAGGAGGCUGCUCUAGGCUCCUUUGGAAAGAAGGACAGGAUAUCAUGUCAUGGGACAAAUGACGAAAGUGGGACCUGCAGUAAAGUUUUGCAGCGGUGGACUUUGGGCUCUCCAAUUCCAGCAGCGCUCUGUGGGACACGAAAAUGUGGCACCUCCCGCCUUUUGCAGUCCAUUCCACAGCAUGGUUGGGGUGCCCCCGGCAGUGUGGCCCUCCUUGAGGUCAAACCGAUCAAGCUACCCUGAAACUGCCUCUGCAAAGUGCUCCUGAUCAGGGUUCCAGCCAGCCACAUCAGGAAGCUCCAUUCCAUACUUCCACCCUCCUGGUUUUCCACCUCCCCUGCCUUCCCAACAAUGAGACCCAUUUGGCAAAGUCUGCUCGCUUAUGUGUUUGCACAAAGUUUUGGGGAGGUUAGACACAGGUUUUUUGGGGGGAACAUCUGUUCUUAUUUGUUUGCAGGGAGGUUAUAGGACAGGGCAUCAAGCAAGCCUUAUCCCAAACUUUGUAUUUCCUUUUCACUUUUCUUAAGGGCAGAAACGGAUUUGUUGAGCAAAGGCACGAAAUCAACUCUUAAUUAUGCAACCUGAGUUUGUCAGUAUGUGAUUGUAUCACACCUGAAAAUGCACACACAUCCCUUUUAGCAGGAUCUCUCUAUCUUUCCUUUCUUCCUUUAUUUCUUCUUCAAAUACUGGUGUUUUCCUGAGGCUGCUGAGUCCUCUCUCUUGCUGCAGAAGUGGGGAUGGCGAGGCUUACGAGUGACACACAUUAUUGCCUUUCUGCUUUUCUGAAACCAAAACAGUUCAAAAGCAAAACAGCAACUCCUAGUCUCCACCCAAAAAACCAGACAGGAGGAAUUUCAAACCAAACAAACUUUUGUUAUGCAGAUUAAAAAAUGCCGAUGAAAUUAAUCAGCUCUGUUUCAAUCUGGGAACUGAAAAGCCUUCUGACCAUAAGAGCUAAUCACCAAAUCAUUUAUUGGGUAUGGAAAUUCCAGUGUUGGUGUUUUACAGCUCCUAUUUUGGAAAUGUGAUGUUUGUUGGGGUUUUUGCCAUUUAUUUUUUUUAAAUAAAAGCACAGAAGUCAGAUGACCAUCUGUCAGGAAUUUUAAAGCUGUGUUUCCUAAAUCACAGUGGGUUGGACUUGAAUGUGUGGAGAAAAGAAUCAGGGAGGGGGGGUUCAUUCACAAAGAGACCCCACAUGUGUGGCGUUAUCGUGCUUCCCUCCACAAUAUUGAUAUCCCCCAUACUCUUCCAUCAUAAAAAACCCAAGUACCUAUUCCUCAUGGUUGAAAUAUUUCUGUUGAGAAACACUAGUGAAAUAGCCUGGCUCCCUUCAGUCCCAGGCAGGACUUGUGCAAGUUAAUUAUCACUUUCUUGAGCACGUUUGUUCUUCCCACCCAUGGCCUGAGCUCUUCCUGGGCUCCCCUGAUAACAAGUUUAACUGGUUGAGAGGCCUUGAGGUGGAGGCUAUUCUGGGCAGAGGACACAAAGAGAUUGGUUGUGGGGUGUUCGUCGCUGAGGUACUAAACCUUCCCGGGUUGUGAAGAAGAAGAGGAGUUUGGAUUUGAUAUCCCGCUUUAUUACUCCCCUUCAGGAGUCUCAAAGCGGCUAACAAUCUCCUUUUCCUUCCUCCCCCACAACAAGCACUCUGUGAGGUGAGUGGGGCUGAGAGACUUCAGAGAAGUGUGACUAGCCCAAGGUCACCCAGCAGAUGCAUGUGGAGGAGCGGGGAAUCGAACCCGGUUCACCAGAUUACGACCCCACCGCUCUUAACCACUACACCACACUGGCUCUCUGUGCAGGCUCUCUGUGCAGGCGAAGGAGAAAGGCGUGGUGAAUUUCCCCCCCCAUUAAUGGAAUGCAUUAUUACUACGUCUACAUGGCACUUUUUGGAGCAACAUAGGCAGGAUUUUUUUAAAAAGGAGACAGAAAAAGCAGUAUCUGCCCCAAGGCGCUUCCAGUCUGAGGGCUGGAUACGGUGGAGACAUCUGAAUAUUCAUUUCAGCUGGAGACAGAAGGGGCGGGUGCCCUUUGGGAGUGGAGUAGAGGAAGGCAGGGAGUCCAAAAGUGGGUGGAGCCACAGCCAAUGAGAGGCGGAGCCAAGGAAGUAGUUUUGCCCCCAUCCUUGUCCCUGCCAAGUUCUACAAGCAUGGCCUGCCCGCUCGUGAGACAAAGCGAGGCAGUUGCCUCAGGCGGCAGCAAGAGAUGCUCAACAGAGGAACAGUCUUCCUUGGAAGGUGAAGGGCUCUCCUUCCAUGGAGGUUUUUAAGCAGAGAUUGGAUGGCCGUCUGUCAUGGAUGCUUUAGCUGAGAUUCCUGCAUUGCAGGGAUUGGAUGAGACAACCCCUUCCAACUCAAUAUUUCUAUCCAUUUCUUGGUCAUCAUCAGGGGGUUUGGGUUGGGUGUUCAUCAGUACACAGAUGACACCCAGCUCCACCUCUCUCUUAAGUCAGAACCAGUGAAGGCGGUGAAGGUCCUGUGUGAGUGCCUGGAGGCGGUUGGAGGGUGGAUGGCGGCUAACAGAUUGGGGUUGAAUCCUGACAAGACAGAAGUACUGUUUUGGGGGGACAGGGUGCGGGCUGGUGUGGAGGACUCCCUGGUCCUGAAUUGGGUAACUGUGCCCUUGAAGGACCAGGUGCGCAGCGUGGGAGUCAUUUUGGACUCACAGCUGUCCAUGGAGGUGCAGGUCAAUUCUGUAGGCGGUUGUCUACCAGCUCCACCUGGUAUGCAGGAUGAGACCCUACCUGCCCGUGGACUGUCUUGCCAGAGUGGUGCAUGCUCUGGUUAUCUCCCGCUUGGACUACUGCAAUGCGCUCUACGUGGGGCUACCUUUGAAGGUGACCUGGAAACUGCAAUUAAUCCAGAAUGCGGCAGCUAGACUGGUGACUGGGGUGGCCGCCGGGACCACAUAACACCGGUCCUGAGAGAUCUGCAUUGGCUCCCAGUACGUUUCCAAGCACAAUUCAAAGUUCUGGUGCUGACCUUGAAAGCCCUAAACGGCCUUGGUCCUGUAUACCUGAAGGAGCGUCUCCACCUCCAUCAUCCAGCCCAAACACUGAGGUCCAUCUCCAAGGGCCUUCUGGCAGUUCCCUCAUUGUGAGAAGUGAGGUUACAGGGACCCAGACAGAGGGCCUUCUCAGUAGUGGUGCCCGCCCUGUGGAACGCCCUCCCUUCAGAUGUGAAGGAAAUAAGCAGCUAUCUUAUCUUUAAGAGACAUCUGAAGGCAGCCCUGUUUAGGGAAGUUUUUAAUAUUUAAUGCUGUAUUGUUUUUAACACUCGAUUGGAAGCCGCCCAGAGCGGCUGGGGAAACUCAGCCAGAUGGGCGGGGUAUAAAUAAUAAAUUAUUAUUAUUAUUAUUAUUAUUAUUAUUAUUAUUAUUCAAGUGACUGGCCCUCAUGAUCAUCGCUAGAGGCUUCCCAUCUUCUCCCCAACUCCCCCCUGCCUUCAAGGCGCGUCUCUUGCAGUGUGUUUGCAGAGGCUCAGAGCAGAGCGACAGGAGCUGGGCGGGAAGAUCUAAUCAACGGCGGAGGCAGAGAAGUUUCUGAUGAGCCAUUCCAGAGACACCUCUAAACUUUCCGCACCCUCAGCGCCUUUGGGUGCAGCUUGCGUUUCCGUGCCUCCCACGUCUUUUCCUGAUUUUGCAAACACCGUGUCUUCAAAUAGGGUGAGCCAAGGUGCUAAAUAAAUCCUGAAAUUAUAAGAUGAUUAAAAACAGCACGCACCGUUUAAAUAUAGACGCGGGGUUUGCAAAAUAGACGUCAGUGCAAAUGUGGUCCCUGUGCUGAAUCAAGGAUUAAAUUCCUAGUUCUCGUUGGCGCAGUGGGGAUUCUGCCAAACGGUGUGUUCUAAAGACCGGUCCUUGCACCCAGGACGGGCCCCUUUGCCAACCUGGUGCCCUCUAGAUGUUUUGGACUACAAUACCCAGUCCUGGUUUGGGCUCAUGGGAGUUGCAGUCCAAACCAUCUGGAGGGCACCAGGUUGGCAAAGGUGCCCACCCUAGGUGCCAGGCAUGAAGAUACUCCAAGGAAGACCAUUUGCCCAGAAAACAGAGUCCCAAGCUACCACAACAUCCGACUGCUGAAUGGAGGUCCUUUGGCCUUCAUUGUGUUUGACUACUCUGUGCUGGGCCUCAUUAUCUGACUGUCCGAGAGACGUCCUGACUCCUGUUCUUUUUCAUGCAAACAGAGAGGGAUCAUUCAAAUUUGGUGCCGGGAAAUCGCAAACUGCUGCCUUCCAAACAAAGGCUGUUAAUCAGUAACACUGAUUUUUUUUUUUUAGUGUUUGCCUCAACAUCCAUUUCCUAGGUUUGAAACCUUUUUUCUGAUCUUGACUUGCAUUUGUUUGAAUUUUUGAAGUUGGGACGUCCUGGGAAGAAGCACCAAUGUUCUGGAUGGAGAAGACUCGAACAAAUGGACCGAUAGCUUCGGUUAUUAAAUUCAUG
This 20594-nucleotide long non-coding RNA is filed under the name Podarcis lilfordi (Lilford's wall lizard). The record is from RNAcentral. Lineage: Eukaryota; Metazoa; Chordata; Lepidosauria; Squamata; Lacertidae.